Molecule: ribosomal RNA, 274 nt
Filed under: uncultured prokaryote
Description: partial 16S ribosomal RNA
Rfam family: Bacterial small subunit ribosomal RNA
Source: RNAcentral
UACGUAGGGUGCGAGCGUUGUCCGGAAUUAUUGGGCGUAAAGGGCUCGUAGGCGGUUUGUCGCGUCGGGAGUGAAAACACCGGGCUUAACUCGGUGCUUGCUUUCGAUACGGGCAGACUAGAGGUAUGCAGGGGAGAACGGAAUUCCUGGUGUAGCGGUGAAAUGCGCAGAUAUCAGGAGGAACACCGGUGGCGAAGGCGGUUCUCUGGGCAUUACCUGACGCUGAGGAGCGAAAGUGUGGGGAGCGAACAGGAUUAGAUACCCCGAGUAGUCC